GCGGGUGUGGCGGAAUUGGCAGACGCACCAGACUUAGGAUCUGGCGCCUUUGGCGUGGGGGUUCAAGUCCCUCCACCCGCA
Non-coding RNA from Anoxybacillus flavithermus, 81 nucleotides. The record is from Rfam. Lineage: Bacteria; Bacillati; Bacillota; Bacilli; Caryophanales; Anoxybacillaceae.